Molecule: ribosomal RNA, 253 nt
Filed under: uncultured bacterium
Lineage: Bacteria
Description: partial 16S ribosomal RNA
Rfam family: Bacterial small subunit ribosomal RNA
Source: RNAcentral
UACGUAGGGGGCAAGCGUUGUCCGGAAUUAUUGGGCGUAAAGAGCGUGUGGGCGGUCCGGUAAGUCAGCUGUGAAAGUCAAGGGCUCAACCCUUGAAAGCCGGUUGAUACUGUCGGGCUAGAGUCCGGAAGAGGCGAGUGGAAUUCCCGGUGUAGCGGUGAAAUGCGCAGAUAUCGGGAGGAACACCAAUGGCGAAGGCAGCUCGCUGGGACGGUACUGACGCUGAGACGCGAAAGCGUGGGGAGCAAACAGG